GGGGAAUAUUGGGCAAUGGGCGCAAGCCUGACCCAACAACGCCGCGUGAAGGAAGAAGGCUUUCGGGUUGUAAACUUCUUUUGACAGGGAAGAGCAGAAGACGGUACCUGUCGAAUAAGCCACGGCUAACUAC
This 133-nucleotide ribosomal RNA is filed under the name uncultured bacterium. RNAcentral's name for it is "partial 16S ribosomal RNA". It matches the Rfam family "Bacterial small subunit ribosomal RNA", at positions 356 to 504 of the family's 1533-position model. The record is from RNAcentral.